UUUUAUGGAGAGUUUGAUCCUGGCUCAGGAUGAACGCUGGCGGCGUGCCUAAUACAUGCAAGUCGAGCGAACGGACGAGAAGCUUGCUUCUCUGAUGUUAGCGGCGGACGGGUGAGUAACACGUGGAUAACCUACCUAUAAGACUGGGAUAACUUCGGGAAACCGGAGCUAAUACCGGAUA
Molecule: ribosomal RNA, 181 nt
Filed under: Staphylococcus argenteus
Lineage: Bacteria; Bacillati; Bacillota; Bacilli; Caryophanales; Staphylococcaceae
Description: partial 16S ribosomal RNA
Rfam family: Bacterial small subunit ribosomal RNA
Source: RNAcentral